GACGGAAGCCUGCUCCCAGCAAGCCCCAGCCGCGUCUCGUCUCCCUCUCCCUUGUCUCCCUCACACACGUUUCUCUCUCCCUCCUCUUCUUCCUUGCUGCGCUCCACCUCGCCCCAGGUGCUCGGCCGCUCAUCUCCCUGCUGCCGCGUCCCUGCGCCCGGCCUUCGUCCCCGUCGCGCCGAUCCGCGCUCGCCCAGGUCGCCCGCCGUCGCCCAGCUCGGUGCCUUCCCUGCUCCUCCAAGCCGGCGUCCUCUGCCCUCAUCUUCUUCCUCAGGUCCGACCGGUGCCCUCAUUCCCCUGGCUGGCGCUCGGCUUCCUCCUCCUGAAGUCCCUCCACGCGCCGAAUUUCGAGCUCCAUUCAUGCCGGCCGAGGUCCUUCCCAUGGCGCCCCUCCCUGCUCCCGUGCACGUGCCCCCCUGGUGGUCGGAGCUCGCCAACGCCAGUUGUUCCUCCACACACACCUCCUGCUCCCCUCGCCAUGGCAUGGAUGACCGCUGUAUCUGCUCCUGUCGUGCUCAAGUCGUCACAGGUUGGUGGGUUGUGCGCGCCUAGCGGUAAGUUAUCUGCUCCUGUCGGUAAUUUUGCAUCAUUAAUUAUUCUGUUAAGGAUCUGAAUUUAGGCUAGAGUAUCAGGUUCAUUUUGUGGGCAUGUGAUCAAAUGCCUACUGUGCUGACAUAUGCUAGUCUGGCCCCAUAAUUAAUAUACCAUUACUUUUUUGAAUGCUAAUUAGGACCGCAGCAGGUCUAAUCUGGCCCCAUAAUUAAUAUACCAUUACUCAGGAAAUAUUUUGGAGUAAAUGCAGAGCUAACUUGAAAUGGUUGUUAUAACUUAAAAAUUAUAUAAAUGGUGAAUUGAACAUUAUUAUGUGUUCUACAGUAGUCUAAUCUGCUGAUGUGUCAAUCAAGCUUAUUGUAUUAAGUUGUAUAUUUACUAUCUAGCUCAUUAUUCUGCUGUUGUUACAUAUUGAUAUAUUGUUUGUUACAUGCGGAGUUUGAAGGAGUUUAAAACACAAGCAACCACAUUGGCAUCGCUUCAGCAUCCCAAUUUAUGUAAACUGAUCGGCUAUUAUGCAAAAGAAGAUUCUAAUGAAAGGAUGUUGGUCUAUGAACGGCUUUAUCAUGGAAGCUUAGAUAAGCUACUCUUUGGAAGAUCAGAUGGUCAUUUCAUGGACUGGUCUAAACGUUUGAAGGUUGCCCUGGGUGCUGCCAGAGGUCUAGCUUUCUUGCAUGAUGAAGGACCCUUUCAGGCCAUGUACAACGAGUUCUCAACUUUGAACAUCCAAAUAGAUAAAGGUUUCACUGCUAAGCUUUCAGGAUAUGGUUGUGUUGGCUUCAAUACCGAGGAGAUAUCUAAUGCACCUGUGCAAACCAUUCGGUGGAGACCUUGGAGAAGGGUUUACUCACUCAGUUUGUCUAUUGCUGCAACAAGUCGGGGCUGGACCGUUCCAAAGUAAAUGUAAAUGGAGGCACGAUUGCCCUUGGACACCCUUUGGGUGCAACAGGUGCCCGGUGCGUGGCUACUCUUCUAAAUGAAAUGAAGUGCCGGGGCAGAGACUGCAGAUUUGGUGUUGUCACCAUGUGUAUCGGAUCUGGAAUGGGGGCAGCAGCUGUGUUCGAGCUAUGUUCGGCCCGGCUGGAGGUAUCGACCAUCACUCGUCACUGUAACCCGAUGGUGAUCGACGACCGUGAGCUUCCAUGUUAUUGCGUUCUGAUACUUGAGACUUUUAUUAUAACUAUGUAUGAGAUAUUGUCUCUUAUUAGUACUGGAUGAUGAGAUGUGUCUUAUUAUGACUAUGGAUGAGACUUUUGUGAUGUAAUUGAUGAGACUAUGGAUGAGACUUUUGUGAUGUAAUUGAUGAGACUAUGAAUUUAAAUAUUGUUAUGUG
Zea mays is the source of this 1885-nucleotide RNA transcript. It is a transcript of the gene named serine/threonine-protein kinase pseudogene, with no coding region annotated. The transcript has 6 exons. The record is from RefSeq and is marked validated. Lineage: Eukaryota; Viridiplantae; Streptophyta; Magnoliopsida; Poales; Poaceae.